Molecule: ribosomal RNA, 478 nt
Filed under: uncultured bacterium
Lineage: Bacteria
Description: partial 16S ribosomal RNA
Rfam family: Bacterial small subunit ribosomal RNA
Source: RNAcentral
GAUGAACGCUGGCGGCGUGCUUAACACAUGCAAGUCGAACGGGAAACCUUUUAUUGAAGCUUCGGCAGAUUUAGCUGGUUUCUAGUGGCGGACGGGUGAGUAACGCGUGGGUAACCUGCCUUAUACAGGGGGAUAACAACCAGAAAUGGUUGCUAAUACCGCAUAAGCGCACAGGACCGCAUGGUCCGGUGUGAAAAACUCCGGUGGUAUAAGAUGGACCCGCGUUGGAUUAGCUAGUUGGCAGGGUAACGGCCUACCAAGGCGACGAUCCAUAGCCGGCCUGAGAGGGUGAACGGCCACAUUGGGACUGAGACACGGCCCAGACUCCUACGGGAGGCAGCAGUGGGGAAUAUUGCACAAUGGGGGAAACCCUGAUGCAGCGACGACGCGUGAAGGAAGAAGUAUGUCGGUAUGUAAACUUCUAUCAGCAGGGAAGAUAGUGACGGUACCUGAAUAAGAAGCCCCGGCUAACUACGUG